RNAcentral lists this ribosomal RNA (478 nucleotides) under uncultured bacterium. Its description in RNAcentral is "partial 16S ribosomal RNA". It matches the Rfam family "Bacterial small subunit ribosomal RNA", at positions 28 to 523 of the family's 1533-position model. The record is from RNAcentral.
GACGAACGCUGGCGGCGUGCUUAACACAUGCAAGUCGAACGGUAAGGCCCUUCGGGGUACACGAGUGGCGAACGGGUGAGUAACACGUGGGUGAUCUGCCCUGCACUUCGGGAUAAGCCUGGGAAAAUGGGUCUAAUACCGGAUAGGACCACUGCCUGCAUGGGUGGUGGUGGAAAGCUUGUGCGGUGGGGGAUGGGCCGGCGGCCUAUCAGCUUGUUGGUGGGGUGAUUGCAUACCAAGGCGACGACGGGUAGCCGGCCUGAGAGGGUGACCGGCCACACUGGGACUGAGAUACGGCCCAGACUCCUACGGGAGACAGCAGUGGGGAAUAUUGCACAAUGGGCGCAAGCCUGAUGCAGCGACGCCGCGUGAGGGAUGACGGCCUUCGGGUUGUAAACCUCUUUCAGCACCGACGAAGCGCAAGUGACGGUAGGUGCAGAAGAAGGACCGGCCAACUACGUGCCAGCAGCCGCCGUAA